Molecule: ribosomal RNA, 497 nt
Filed under: uncultured bacterium
Lineage: Bacteria
Description: partial 16S ribosomal RNA
Rfam family: Bacterial small subunit ribosomal RNA
Source: RNAcentral
GAUGAACGCUGGCGGCGUGCCUAAUACAUGCGAGUCGAGCGAACAGACGAGGAGCUUGCUCCUCUGACGUUAGCGGCGGACGGGUGAGUAACACGUGGAUAACCUACCUAUAAGACUGGGAUAACUUCGGGAAACCGGAGCUAAUACCGGAUAAUAUAUUGAACCGCAUGGUUCAAUAGUGAAAGACGGUUUUGCUGUCACUUAUAGAUGGAUCCGCGCCGCAUUAGCUAGUUGGUAAGGUAACGGCUUACCAAGGCAACGAUGCGUAGCCGACCUGAGAGGGUGAUCGGCCACACUGGAACUGAGACACGGUCCAGACCCCUACGGGAGGCAGCAGUAGGGAAUCUUCCGCAAUGGGCGAAAGCCUGACGGAGCAACGCCGCGUGAGUGAUGAAGGUCUUCGGAUCGUAAAACUCUGUUAUUAGGGAAGAACAAAUGUGUAAGUAACUAUGCACGUCUUGACGGUACCUAAUCAGAAAGCCACGGCUAACUACGUG